Neopsephotus bourkii (Bourke's parrot) is the source of this 590-nucleotide long non-coding RNA. RefSeq lists it as uncharacterized. The transcript has 4 exons. The record is from RefSeq and is a predicted model, not a curated record. Lineage: Eukaryota; Metazoa; Chordata; Aves; Psittaciformes; Psittacidae.
CUCAGGCCGUUCCCGACUCAGGGUAGCCCCCGCCUGAGGGCAGCCUCGGCUGCCGCCGUCGUUCGAGUGAUGGAGUCUGGGACCCUCCGCUCGGCAGAGGCAGACAUGGCCAGCAGUGAAAUACACCGUGCUCCCCCCCACCCAGGAACCACAGGUGUGUGUACGGUUCCUGUGAGUGCCUCCAUCUGGAAAUGUGAGACCAUGCUUCCUCUCUGUAUCUCAGGAUGGCAGCUGUAAGGUUACCACUUCUGACUGAUCGCAGCAGCUACAUGGAUUAAACAGUGAAAUCACCAAAUCAGGCUACUUGAAUAAAAGCUGAAUUUCCAUCCUGUGAAGCCAGAAUGCAUCCUGCAAAGCUCUUCACUGACAAGGCAGCUCAGUCAGGUUAUAUAAUUGGCACCCUCAUAAGCUUUUAAUCUUUGGCAGAGUGGUACUCAAAGGGAGUGAAGUUCUCUCCUACCCUUGAAAAUAUCAAUGAAACUCAGAGAAUGCUUACUGCUGAAUGUCCCACGAUCACAAGAAGCCAAGAGCACACUGCCUUAGUACCAACGAGAAAAGAGCUUUUGGAAAGUCAAUCUCCUUCCUCCUAA